UAUAACAUGUUAUAUUAUAUUUAUAAAUCAGAAAAUAAAAGCUUUGGUAUUGAUCAAAUCAAUAUCCUAGAUCUAAAAUAGUUUUAGAUCUAAAACCUAGAUCACAUCUAGAUAAGAGAAGAGAUCAGAUCUCUUACCUUCAUGCGGAUCGAGAACUCUGUGGUUGAUUUUCUUUGUUAUCUUUAUAGCCGCACACGCGUCUGGCCUCUACAGGUGAUCCACACGAGGCUGCAACAA
This 237-nucleotide long non-coding RNA is filed under the name Elaeis guineensis (African oil palm). RNAcentral describes it as "long non-coding RNA (EGUI_LNC040318)". The record is from RNAcentral. Lineage: Eukaryota; Viridiplantae; Streptophyta; Magnoliopsida; Arecales; Arecaceae.